AGCCCCAGAAAAAAAAGGAGCGACGGAAAGGUAAAGGUGUGGAAGAAGAUGACGAUGAGAAGGAGGUCAUGACGACUUUGAAAAAGCUUUCGGUACAAGCGAGCGACGAGGAAGACGAAUCAGGAUUCAUCUCAAACAAAAGAAACAAGAAGAAGACAGGAAACAUCUUUGCUGCUCUCAGCCAAGGGCAGAGCGAAGAAGAGGAGGAAGAAGAAGAUGAUGAUGAUGAUGAUAAUAAGAAUAAGCAGCGUGCAGUGAAG
This is a long non-coding RNA of Cyprinodon variegatus (sheepshead minnow), 260 nucleotides long. RefSeq lists it as uncharacterized. The transcript is spliced from 3 exons. The record is from RefSeq and is a predicted model, not a curated record. NCBI's taxonomy places the organism in Eukaryota, Metazoa, Chordata, Actinopteri, Cyprinodontiformes, Cyprinodontidae.